This 642-nucleotide ribosomal RNA is filed under the name Triticum aestivum (bread wheat). Its description in RNAcentral is "partial small subunit ribosomal RNA". Lineage: Eukaryota; Viridiplantae; Streptophyta; Magnoliopsida; Poales; Poaceae. The record is from RNAcentral.
AUGAAAAAAUUAUGUAUGGAUCACAGGAUUGUGGUUCUUAGUCUAGAUGGAAGAAAGGGUGAUUUGCUACUAGUCUGGAAGAAGGAGGUGAGGAUCUACUCCCGGGCUGCUACCCUGGAUUUCAUCGAUGUCUCUGUGGAAGAGGAUAAUGGAGACAUGUGGAGGUUAACUGGAAUAUACGGUGAACCAAGUUGGGAUAACAAAAACCGUACGUAUCAAUUACUACGGGAUCUUCAUGCCCAAUCCAGGUUGCCGUGGAUAGUAAUUGGCGACUUUAACGAGAUUCUAUUCUCAUCAGAGAAAGAUGGUGGGGCCCCUCGACAUCAAUCCCGUCUACAAGCUUUUCAGGACGCCUUGUCUGACUGCUCCCUUGAAGACUUGGGUUAUGAGGGAGACAUAUUCACGUGGUUCCGUGGAGGGUUGCGGGAAAGACUCGAUCGGGCAGUGACGAAUGCUGGAUGGAUGCAGCUCCAUCCUUUGGCUGGUCUUUGCAACCUGGAAUUAGGAAAAUCAGAUCACCGACCGAUCUGCCUGGAUACAUAUCACCUGGCUGGAAUUGCAGAACAACGACCUUCCUAUGGGAGGAAAUUUGAGGCGAGGUGGCUGGCAGAGGAGACUGUUGAGGAAGUAGUGAAAACAGCA